Molecule: non-coding RNA, 1306 nt
Organism: Punica granatum (pomegranate)
Lineage: Eukaryota; Viridiplantae; Streptophyta; Magnoliopsida; Myrtales; Lythraceae
Source: RefSeq, a predicted model, not a curated record
UAUUUGUACUCUUAAGUUCUUAAUCCUCACGGAACUCUCUCUCUCUCCACCCGCUCUCCUGAUCUUUGGAUCUGAAGUCUAUUGCGGCAGCUGGGAAUGAAGUCUUGAAAAGGAGUUGGUUGGCUAGUGGGUUAUGGUUCUCGCACUCAGUUUUGGAAGGAUCAUUGGGUAUCGGGUGGUCUGCGUGAUUUAAAGGAAGAGGCAUGGCCCGGACCCAGGUGAGGAAGAUCGGAAGGAGGCCAUGGUCUAUCUGCCUCGUCAGGUGUACAAGGCCGAGGAGAUGAAGUACAAGAUGGAGGAUAAUGGGGUGCUCUUCACAGAGAUCCCUAAGGAGCCGGAGGUCGGGCCUAGAGCUAAUAGACCACUGAUAAAACAUUUUUGUAUGGCAGAAAGGCACUUCAGGUUUUGCCAAGAAAGAAUUCCAAACUAUUUAGGCUCGAGACAAUCACUCCCAACAACAAAGAAAAUGGUUCGAUACAACCAUGUGGGGAAUGACCAAAGAUGGAGGGAGGGUCCGGGGACAAGGGACGACGGCCGGCGGUCCCGACCCCACCUCCGAUGUAGUCAGCAUCCACAGAAGAUGCCAGCGAGCUUGGAGGUGGGGUUGGGGCUGCCGAACGAUGCCCCCCAGCCCUUGAAUCAGUCAAGAUUACAAAGUUGAGAUCUCGGCCGAUUCGGGAUUUGAGUGCUUCGAAUAGCAACCCGACCUCACUUCCGAGGUUAGUGUCCUCAGAGGGUGCCGCGACCAUGAAUGUGGGGUCGGGCCGUUGUUCAACGGCCCAGUCCCCAAAUCGGUCGAGAACUUAACUUUGAAAUCUCAAUCGAUUCAGGGACUGGGAGUGUCGUCCGGCGGCCUCGACCCCUAUUCAAAGUCACCAGCAUCUACAAUGGACACUUGCGAAAUCGAAGGUGGGGUUCGGGCUGUCGGCCAUCGUCCCCAGCCCCUCCCUCCCUUGCCAGUGGUGGUCCUUCUUUUCGAGGCCUCAAAUUCCCUUUUUUUUUUCCCCAAAAAUUUAAUUUUUAGUUUAAAAAUAUGCAAAUCAAUUUGCUUAUGACACGUGGCUUCCUUUUAUUUGCUUUCAAGUCCACAUUACUAUCUAGUAAUGGGAGGACCAAAGUGGCAAAAAGGGAAGAAGGUUGAGGAUAGAAAUGACUAAAAAAGAGUUUAGAACCAAAGUGACAAAAGUGUCAAAUGUUGAUCAAAACUGUCUUUUUUUUCUCACAAAAAAAAAUGACCAUUCAACUACCUUGCAUAUUGCUUUUGUCUUUGUACAUUUGGUUGUUUAAUCUUUUGUAUAUGCAUUUA